Molecule: long non-coding RNA, 1744 nt
Filed under: Homo sapiens (human)
Lineage: Eukaryota; Metazoa; Chordata; Mammalia; Primates; Hominidae
Description: HSALNT0112803
Source: RNAcentral
CCACGGAGCUGUCUCCUUCCAGUCUACCGGCCAAUGACACCAUAGAGCCUGUGACUCAGCGGCCCGACUGCCCGGCUGCACUCCUGAGACAUCCCCGCCUGCUCAGGCGACUCCCAAGACCCUGAGAGACCUGGAUACUGAAGGGGAGGAGGCAGGAAGCCAGGAAACACCACAGAUGAAGCUUCCAGGUGAGAAGUACGGGGCUUCACAAUUGAGAAUCAGAGUGAAAAGGAGAAACUGGCCUUUAUUGAUUAUCGACUAUUAUCAGUCAUUCUUGGAUAAGAAAGGAUCUCUUUUCUUGUCUGCUGCCAUGUGAGAUGUGCCUUUCACCUUCUGCCAUGAUUGUGAGCUCUCCCCAGCCACGUGGAAGUGCUGAGAAUUCCCUCUGCAGCAACCCUGACAAAUGAGCAUGGAACUUCAGGGAAAAUUUCUCCAGAAUAGUGAAGCUCAUUACCAGAGACCCACCCAGACAGCAAGAUGAAGCUUAACAAAAAAUAAAGGAAUGGCCUCCACUUGGAUUCAAAAUGAAAACUGCAAAAAUUUCAAGAUAAAAAGACCUCCAUAAUGAUAAAGAAACAACCUACAGCAAAAACCUUCAGCUGAGCCCAUCUUAUUUCUGCCACAGAAUUUUAGAAUUGGGUGUACAUGCACCUCAGCAGUAUUCUGAGCACCUGAGCAGUAUUCUUCCCUUUGAUAUCUACAGAAUUUUUUGGCCAACAUGUUUCCAGAAACAGAGAACCAUUCACGACUUUCCAAUAAAGCUAUUCCACAUUUAGACAAAUAUAUUCAAUGUUAAUACUAAAAGCUGCUCCCUAUUCCAAAUUCUCACAUCAUGCCUUAACUCUUGUCUUUGGGACAACUUAGACUGUUUAUUCCUUAACCACAAACAGUCCACCACAUACUUGAGGAAGAUUCCCAUAGCUACAGAACUCAACUCUUUCCCAAAUAAAAUUUACCUUCACUUUUCCCGGCAAGACAUUGAAAUCAAUUACUCUUCCCUGGUAGAAUGGAACUUCUAUGAGUAAAUAUGGGGCAUGCAUGUCAAGGAAAAGGUGGAUGUUAGCUUAAACAAAGAAGUGAGAUCCUGGGAGAAGUUCAACAUAUUGCAGUAUUUACCCUGAAAGACACUCAGUCUUAAAUAAAAAUAAAUCAAAUAUUUUAAUCUUCUUUUAACUCAUUCAUCCCAAUAUGACAAUGAAUUUUCAUAUAUCACUUUAAAUUCAUGACACACACAAGUCAAAUAUUGAACACUGAUUUUGAGUCAUUGCAGGGCACAAAAAUUGUGAGCUCUUUCAGACCCAAAAUAACACUACACAACCAAAUGCCCCCGUAACAAUUUUUCUCACAGUUAAUUUUAAGUAGUACUCAAAGACCAGUUAUAAAGCAGAGAAAACAGCAUCUUUUGCUAAGCAUUGCCAAGUUAGAAUACACAAGAAUAGAUGCAAAGAAUUCCACCAACCUUUGAGGGCUGCAAGGUUGCUGAAAGCCUUUCAGAAAACCCAUGGCCUAAAUCUACAGCCCAAAUGCAUUGCCAUAGCAUACAAUAAGUGGCUGUGGCAUGAUCAGUGAGGAGAGAGAGGACUCUGAUCAGUGAUUCUGAAGACAUCCCAGAGCAGGAAACAUGGAGCGUGGGUGGGCACCCACAAUCUCCCUGACAUAGGAGUCAAGCUGGCUCUAUGGAUUGAGCCCUGCUUCCCUGCCUGACAACAUCUCUGGAAGCAAAGCAGCAAACUUCCAUAGGCUU